UACGUAGGUGGCAAGCGUUAUCCGGAAUUAUUGGGCGUAAAGAGCGCGCAGGUGGUUGAUUAAGUCUGAUGUGAAAGCCCACGGCUUAACCGUGGAGGGUCAUUGGAAACUGGUCGACUUGAGUGCAGAAGAGGGAAGUGGAAUUCCAUGUGUAGCGGUGAAAUGCGUAGAGAUAUGGAGGAACACCAGUGGCGAAGGCGGCUUCCUGGUCUGUUACUGACACUGAGGCGCGAAAGCGUGGGGAGCAAACAGGAUUAGAUA
RNAcentral lists this ribosomal RNA (261 nucleotides) under uncultured prokaryote. Its description in RNAcentral is "partial 16S ribosomal RNA". It matches the Rfam family "Bacterial small subunit ribosomal RNA", at positions 524 to 784 of the family's 1533-position model. The record is from RNAcentral.